This is a microRNA precursor of Prunus persica (peach), 164 nucleotides long. The record is from Rfam. NCBI's taxonomy places the organism in Eukaryota, Viridiplantae, Streptophyta, Magnoliopsida, Rosales, Rosaceae.
AAGAGAAGAGCCUGCGAGAUUAGCCAAGGUGACUGCCUGGCAGCCUAACAGGAAUUUGGCACAAUAUUAAUGUGAAGAAGCUGCAGAUUAAUUAAUUAUAGGUAAAAGCUCAUGAAACUGGAGGCAGGCAAGUCAUCCUUGGCUACCAAACAAGACUCUUUCCU